AUAUCUCAACACAGACAGGGUUAACCCUGUUCUGAUGCUUGGAUGUUGAAGGCUUGCUGGCAAACCUUACUUGCUUGCUCCUUUUAAAUACAUUAGCAGAAACCAGUACAAAAGCUGGCUUCAGUUUGAUAAAUACUUAUCUGUAUAACUGUUGCCAGUGAAAGCUAGUGUUUCAGCUUCCAAUUGUCCAUGUAAUGGACUGUCUCUCGAGGCACACUUUGAC
RNAcentral lists this unclassified non-coding RNA (223 nucleotides) under uncultured Clavaria. Its description in RNAcentral is "sequence contains ITS2". Lineage: Eukaryota; Fungi; Basidiomycota; Agaricomycetes; Agaricales; Clavariaceae. The record is from RNAcentral.